Molecule: ribosomal RNA, 270 nt
Filed under: uncultured prokaryote
Description: partial 16S ribosomal RNA
Rfam family: Bacterial small subunit ribosomal RNA
Source: RNAcentral
UACGUAGGGUGCGAGCGUUGUCCGGAAUUACUGGGCGUAAAGAGCUCGUAGGUGGUUUGUCACGUCGUCUGUGAAAUUCCGGGGCUUAACCUCGGGCGUGCAGGCGAUACGGGCAAUACUUGAGUGCUGUAGGGGAGACUGGAAUUCCCGGUGUAGCGGUGAAAUGCGCAGAUAUCAGGAGGAACACCAAUGGCGAAGGCAGGUCUCUGGGCAGUUACUGACGCUGAGGUACGAAAGCGUGGGUAGCAAACAGGAUUAGAUACCCUGGUA